This 161-nucleotide ribosomal RNA is filed under the name Hordeum marinum subsp. gussoneanum. RNAcentral's name for it is "5.8S ribosomal RNA". It matches the Rfam family "5.8S ribosomal RNA". Rfam says of the family: 5.8S ribosomal RNA (5.8S rRNA) is a component of the large subunit of the eukaryotic ribosome. It is transcribed by RNA polymerase I as part of the 45S precursor that also contains 18S and 28S rRNA. Functionally, it is thought that 5.8S rRNA may be involved in ribosome translocation. The record is from RNAcentral. Lineage: Eukaryota; Viridiplantae; Streptophyta; Magnoliopsida; Poales; Poaceae.
CGACUCUCGGCAACGGAUAUCUUGGCUCUCGCAUCGAUGAAGAACGUAGCGGAAUGCGAUACCUGGGUGUGAAUUGCAGAAUCCCGCGAACCAUCGAGUCUUUGAACGCAAGUUGCGCCCGAGGCCACUCGGCCGAGGGCACGCCUGCCUGGGCGUCACGC